CUCCGGAGGGUGCCCUCUUUCCUCGGCCUUCCUGGGCGUCCCUCUCACGCCGUCGGUCUGUCCCUUCGGAUGUGAAAUCCCCGGGCUCAACCUGGGAACUGCAUCCGAAACUGGCAGGCUAGAGUCUUGUAGAGGGGGGUAGAAUUCCAGGUGUAGCGGUGAAAUGCGUAGAGAUCUGGAGGAAUACCGGUGGCGAAGGCGGCCCCCUGGACAAAGACUGACGCUCAGGUGCGAAAGCGUGGGGAGCAAACAGGAUUAGAUACCCUGGUAGUCCACGCCGUAAACGAUGUCGACUUGGAGGUUGUGCCCUUGAGGCGUGGCUUCCGGAGCUAACGCGUUAAGUCGACCGCCUGGGGAGUACGGCCGCAAGGUUAAA
RNAcentral lists this ribosomal RNA (376 nucleotides) under uncultured bacterium. Its description in RNAcentral is "bacterial SSU rRNA". It matches the Rfam family "Bacterial small subunit ribosomal RNA", at positions 523 to 898 of the family's 1533-position model. The record is from RNAcentral.